CAUGGUAUUGACAGGCAUCUGAGACACAAAGAAUGUAAUCUGUUUGAACAUAGGACUGAGUACUGAAGGGACCUUCUACUAUUGCAGAUGGUGAAAUGGAUUUUGAAAUUAUUACAACGGGAGAAGGAAUCGUUUAGAUGGUGUUUUUCUAUUUGCUUUAUUGAACAGAAGUAAGCAAAAUGAGGAGAGCUAUUCAGGGGAAAAAAUUCUGGAAAGUAGUGGUAUGGAACACUAUGAAGAUGAAGGAUAAAAGAUGAAGGAUGAUGAAGAUGUGUUUGCCUGAAGAAACAGGAAGAAAUGGAUCUGUUAAUGGAACAUGGCUGUAGAGAAAGAGGGUCCUCUAGAUGUUCAGCCCUUGGAGAUAUACUCCGGUAGUCUGGUGGUUCCGGUCGGAGCUGUAUGCUACAGUCAUCCUUCUUUGCUACCAAAAUUACCCUACUAUAACCUUAAGGACUAUCUACAACAAAGUAAUAAACAAGAGCCUGCACCAAAGUAAGGAAAGGAAAAGACUAACAAAAGAAGAAAAGAAAGGAACUAUCCUGGUCAGCUAUAAACACAGGCAAGUAAAGAAAAAAAAACUGAAAAAGGAGAGGGGUGUCAGGCUGAGCAGCCUGCCUCCCCCACACUCUAGCCUGAACCUAGUGCAUCUCCCUGGCUCAGAUCCGCAUUCUUCCUCAGCUCCUCUCUGAGCCACCUUGGGUCCUGCGUUCCUGUGCCAUCUGUCACCAGUGCGAGACAAUCCUACAGUCUUCGCUGACACUGACGCUAGCCUCUGCAUUGGAUCUUCUUGAUUUCACUGGUGCUGAGUGCACCCGGCAUGGGGGAUCCUUGCAGCCUCUCCUGCUCCUGGCAAUCCCCGCUCACUCCUUCUUGGAGCCAACUUUUGUAUCCACCAGGCAGCGUCUCCUGCUGACAUCACCUGGCCCCAGCUGCAGAUAAGCAUGGCUAAUGAACUGCAUGGUCUUUUCUUCUUGGCGUGUUUCUUUGGGUCUUCAGCGUCCUA
Long non-coding RNA from Alligator mississippiensis (American alligator), 1003 nucleotides. RefSeq lists it as uncharacterized. The record is from RefSeq and is a predicted model, not a curated record. Lineage: Eukaryota; Metazoa; Chordata; Crocodylia; Alligatoridae. The transcript has 4 exons.